RNAcentral lists this ribosomal RNA (477 nucleotides) under Lacticaseibacillus rhamnosus. RNAcentral describes it as "bacterial SSU rRNA". It matches the Rfam family "Bacterial small subunit ribosomal RNA", at positions 28 to 477 of the family's 1533-position model. Lineage: Bacteria; Bacillati; Bacillota; Bacilli; Lactobacillales; Lactobacillaceae. The record is from RNAcentral.
GAUGAACGCUGGCGGCGUGCCUAAUACAUGCAAGUCGAACGAGUUCUGAUUAUUGAAAGGUGCUUGCAUCUUGAUUUAAUUUUGAACGAGUGGCGGACGGGUGAGUAACACGUGGGUAACCUGCCCUUAAGUGGGGGAUAACAUUUGGAAACAGAUGCUAAUACCGCAUAAAUCCAAGAACCGCAUGGUUCUUGGCUGAAAGAUGGCGUAAGCUACCGCUUUUGGAUGGACCCGCGGCGUAUUAGCUAGUUGGUGAGGUAACGGCUCACCAAGGCAAUGAUACGUAGCCGAACUGAGAGGUUGAUCGGCCACAUUGGGACUGAGACACGGCCUAAACUCCUACGGGAGGCAGCAGUAGGGAAUCUUCCACAAUGGACGCAAGUCUGAUGGAGCAACGCCGCGUGAGUGAAGAAGGCUUUCGGGUCGUAAAACUCUGUUGUUGGAGAAGAAUGGUCGGCAGAGUAACUGUUGUCGGCG